RNAcentral lists this ribosomal RNA (274 nucleotides) under uncultured bacterium. RNAcentral describes it as "partial 16S ribosomal RNA". It matches the Rfam family "Bacterial small subunit ribosomal RNA", at positions 523 to 796 of the family's 1533-position model. The record is from RNAcentral.
AGACGGAGGGGGCUAGCGUUGUUCGGAAUCACUGGGCUUAAAGGGCGUGUAGGCGGUCUUCCAAGUCGGGUGUGAAAGCCCUCGGCUCAACCGAGGAAUUGCACACGAUACUGGUCGACUAGAGUGCGGCAGGGGUAAGUGGAACUCCAGGUGUAGCGGUGAAAUGCGUAGAUAUCUGGAGGAACGCCGGUGGCGAAAGCGACUUACUGGGCCGCAACUGACGCUGAGGCGCGAAAGCUAGGGGAGCGAACGGGAUUAGAAACCCCAGUAGUCC